This 18-nucleotide non-coding RNA is filed under the name Mus musculus (house mouse). The record is from RNAcentral. Lineage: Eukaryota; Metazoa; Chordata; Mammalia; Rodentia; Muridae.
UAAAGACUAGAAAACCAA